UUUUUCCCUUUUAUAAUAUAAAAUAAUUGUGUCGAUUAAUAAAAUAUAGGGCCAAUUGCUUAUAUAUUCCUGAAAAGUUUCCGACUUUUCGAUUUACCUCUCUUAGAAGACUAAUAUUGAAAAUACCCUUUCUACGUUCCAACAUAUUUUUAAUAUAUCCCUAGAGUUAAAAUCUCUUAAUGAAUUCUGUUAUCUCUGUAAAAUUACUAUUUUGCCCUUUCAAAUAUACCCUUCAACCAUUACUGACUUUUGGUCUUUUCUAAUAUACCUCUCUGCCAUUACAAAUAUGUCUUAUUUGCCCUUAAGUUAAGGACAAAAUGCUUAACAGGAGAUAACUGUGAAAAUAUUUUGCAAUAACGGUGGAACGUAUGAAGAGUAUUUUAGAAAGAAAAAAAGAGUAGGAAUAAAUCGAAUAUUUUCAAACGUAUAAAAAGUAUAUAGGCAAUUAUCUCUAAAAUAUAAUAUCAUACUUAUUCUUAUGACUAGAUCGUCUUAAUAU
This 499-nucleotide long non-coding RNA is filed under the name Ananas comosus (pineapple). Its description in RNAcentral is "long non-coding RNA (ACOM_LNC039763)". Lineage: Eukaryota; Viridiplantae; Streptophyta; Magnoliopsida; Poales; Bromeliaceae. The record is from RNAcentral.